UCCUACAGUGUCACAAAUCUGUUCAAAUGGAACUAUAGUUUAAUUUACCUUUAUUUAAUUUAACUUUGUUAAAGGUGAGCUCUCUCUUCUUCAAGGGUGAAAUUGCUGAUUUUGAGGCGCUAAUUUCCCUUGUUUAUGUUCUUUCAAGUCUUCUGGUAACAGUCCACAGGGGAGGAACCCAACAUUGCUUCUCCAGGAUGAAGCCAAAGCCUGUUUGUGAGCUGGACUGGAUUUGCAGCUCAGGGAACAGCUUCUUGUGCCAAGGCUAUCAGCCUGUCCUCUCAGUAACAAGGCUCUUGUUAGUAGUAGUAUGUUAGCAUGACUUGGCAAUCACAGGCAUGCUUCAGGCAAGCAAAAACACUAUUUCAAACUAUUCUUGAGCAUCUGUCCAAUACUCUCACUGUCAUGUCUCAUUGCAGACACUUCUCUUAAAGGUGAGCACAGCAGCUUGCAAAGAGAUGGGGAAUGAAGCAAAAGAAAGUAGAGUUUAUGUUCUUUUUACCUAAAAUUCCUGAUUUUGUGAAUUUAGGUUUGUGCUAGGCCUUGUCUGUGACAGCAACUGCCUCUGAGCCUCCAUGAGCAAAGUGUAUUUGGCUGAGCCCACUCCUCACACACUUCCUUCUGCUGUAGUCAGACUUCUGAACAUGAGCAGGCUGAUGAAAACGGAAAUGGCAGGCAAGGUCCCAGACAACUCCUCCAGACAAUGCCUGCAUAACUGGAGGAAGUCACAGACCUCUCUCUGAUAAGCAGGAGGAUCAGCCUUCACAAGUCUAGGGAAUCCUGCCACAAUUGAACAUAAAUGGUUUUACUGAGCUUCCAGACAAAACCUUCUUAAAUCUGCAUAUUGGAAGAAACAAUAAGAAUAACGGACCAAAAAAAUGUACCUGGUGUUUCCCUUCACCUUCCCAGAUGCAAAGCAAGGUUUUGUUCAUUGCCUCUGGUCCUGUCACAGUCCUGUUGCUGCAGAGAAGAGUCUGACUCAUUCUUCUUUCCUUCUCACCACAGCUAUCAGAGAGGACAUGAAUUAUCAUUCUGACACCAGAUCUGAGUAAGCAGAUGCACUCCGUGUGAUCACGCGUGUUCUAUUGCAGGAGGCAGCAGCUCCAGCACUUCCUCCCAGCCCCCUGUUCCUAUAUAUAUGUUCCUGCGGGGCAUGGCAUCCAGAGGAGUGGAGGAAGAGUUUGGACUUGUGUACACUGAGCUGAGGUUCACUUAGUUCCAGGUUCUGAGAGAUAUUAUAUGACUGCUCGAUCCCAAAAGCACAUGGAGUCCAGAGAGCAGAAAAGAGGCCUCAUACUCUUCAUUUUUCAGAGAUUUAAGGCUAUAAAUACAUCUGUCUUCUGACUCUGCAGCCCAGAUAAGGAAUUACUUCUGCUGAUGAAUAGUCUUUUCCAAAGAAAACAAGAGCUUCUGUUUACAAGCUAAGAAGGCCACAAGAACAUCUGGGUCCUGUCAUCUAGAUUACAAGGGCUAUUCUGGCCCACACUGAAUAGUUUCCAUGCAAGGACAGUAUUGAGGAAUAUAGCAGUAGCUCUGCUCCAUGAACUGUCCAGACAGCAGAGAAAGGAUCAUCAGCAAAAUUCUUUCUGAAGAAAACCAGUUGGUAACCCAAUGUUAAAAAUGCUAUUUCACUGUUAGAUGCCUGUGGGACCUUGAUUUGUGUGCACACAUAUUGUGUGCAGAGAUAACACUUCCAAUGUCUUUAAGGUUUUAAGAUCUCCACACCAGUCUAACCUUCCAUUCAGCUGUUCUGUUUCCAGUCUUGAAGUUGUUCAAGUUAUGAGAUAGAUCUGGAAGUAAAAUAGGCUUCCAUUGGGUAUUUUCUGGGGAAGUGAGGUAGGAGACUCAGUUAAGUAUUUCUCAUCUUGAAGACCAAAGGGCCUGACCAGAUGAGGCAAAGAAUUGAAAAGGAAAGGGAGAAGGAUGACCAUUUAUGUUCCUGGAACAGUUCCAGAGAGAUAGAACCUAAGAUAUAUUUAGUAACCUUGCUGUUGAAAUGAAAUAUUGUGUAACUUCACCUUAGCAGCAAUAGUUAGCAUUUGUGUAAUCAUGCAAAGUAAAAAUGACCUACUUUUUAAUUAUAAAGAAAUGUAUUCAGUAACUCUAAAAUAUAAAAAGGAAAACUUUAAAAUAUACUUCCCAGAUAGCUAAAAUCUUCAUUACAUAUCAUUUCCCUAUACACUAAAAUUAUUGCCAUUUAAAAGGAAUUUAUCAGGUAUUAGGCAUUGGCUGUAUUGGCCAAGUACACAGUGCUGUGCUAAAUAAUCACAUUCCCGGGUGAAAUUUAGCACCAUUUACUAUUUUGAGGCAGUCAGAUUACAUCACUGUGUACCCAUGAUCUUGAGAGUCACUAUAAGGCAACAUUUCAACAAUCAAGGCAUGUUUGAUAAAAGAAGGAAAUCAGUAAUUUUCUAAACUUAAUGGAAAAAUUAUCUUCCAUGGAUAAACAAAGACAUAAAUUUCUGCUAUAAGGCUUCAUAUAAACUAUAUAGUAGAAAUCUCAGUUGCUUAUAAUAAUUAGAGAUUUUAAAAAGUAGAUUACAGAAAUAAUCCUAGAAUAAACUGCCUAAAUAAAGUGCUUAAAACUUUCUCUCUCUUGCUAAAGGCUUUUAACUUAUUUUUGCAAUUUAAUUUGCUUUCAACACUGUUCAAGUAUAUAGUUAUUUUAGAACUUUCUGAUUACUCAAUUUUUUCUAACUUUUGUUAGACUCAAGCCUUCAAUAAAUUUAAGGUGUAACCAGCAGUUUUGCUGCUUUUUUUGAUCUCAGAGAUCUGAUAAAGGGAUUCUGUCUUCAACUGACUCAGGGAACAAAUAAAUGAAAUAUACAUUCCUUAAGUGAGGAUUAGCCCCUUAUUUGUAGAGUGGCUGUCUAGUCCGCAUCCAGGUAGGAAGGCAAAUAUCUUUAUCUGGUAAAUAUCUGAGUAUUAUGAAAUUAAAGACAAAAAUAUCUUUGGAUGAAGAUUUUAAACCUUGCUUGCAGGAACAUAAGAAUUCUCUUAAUGGAGCACUUUUUUCCUCAAAGAAUAUCCCUCACAAAAUAUACUCUACCCUUUCUGAGGCAUUACUGGUUACGAUGAAUUUUAAGGUGUGGGAAAAAUCCUCCCAAAGGAGAAGUUUUUAGCUGUACUGCUGGUUUAGCUCUGUGAUAACUUAUGCUUGGUAGGACAUAUACAUAACUGUGUUCACUUCUCAUAAUCUUCCUUUUAAAAAUAAAAAAUUGUAUUCAUUUUUAUAGGCUUUUACUGAAGAUUACUGACCAUUAGAGUGUGACACCAAACCAUUUGAACGUUUCCUACUUUCUGUCACUAAGUUAAAAAUCUGCAUGUAUUGUUCACAGUAAGUCUUAGGAUUGUAAUGGUUUAAUGUCUGAUUUCAAUAUCACUGUAAUGACAUUCCUUCUUUUCAUCACAAUUCCUCUUCUUCUAAAUCACUGCCAUGGACUACUUUUCAGCAGGAGCCUUCCAUUAUAAAUCCUGAAGUUCACUGGAUUUGACAAUUAUUACUUCAUGGUGAAACUGUAAAAAACUUCUUAAACUAAGUAACUUUUCCUUAGGCUGAAGUCAAGAAUAGCUUGUUCAUUCUCCUCUCCUGUUUUUUCCCUGGACUGUGGAACUAGCUGUUCCAAGAAGCCAUCAUUUGAAUUGUUGAGAAAUUGCCUCUCAAAGAUCUGGCCUGAAAUAACAACUUGACAAUCUGUGUGCAACUAUUUGGAGUGGUACACUACUACUUCCUUAAAAAAAUUACAAUUAGUUUCUUCUUUGCUUUCCUUCACACUGCCUGCUCUGGAUGGUAUUUACAUACUAUAGGCAACCAAUUCAGGUAUCCAAAUGAGAAGUAUAGGCUUCUUAUGCCAUCAGUGGAAAGAGGAACAGUGCUUCAGAGGGCAAUUAAGAGUAAAACACUGAGAAAUCUGCCUGCUUUGUUAAUUUAUUGGAGGACCUGGGCACUUCUGUUAAAGGCCCGGGGCAGAUUGUGAAGAUGUCUGAACCUCCACAGAGCCUUUUUUAUUUUUUUGCUUUUAAUUGGGACAGAAAACAAGUACCAAAAUUUGUUAAUAAAGUGUCCCUUGAAUUGCAAUUUAAAUGCAUGGAGAGUCUCUUGUUACUUGUUGGUUCUCCUUCUAAAUAUUCUUCCUUCGGAUGAUUUUUCAAGAGAAUUGCUCUUUCCCUAUUACUGUCUCAGUCAGUUCUACACAGAUUUUAACCUAAUUAGCCCACUAUUUUUUUUUCUUUUGACUGGCUCCAGAAAAAAUUAAUUUCAUGGCUGGACAGAUAUUGUGGUUUGCCUUCAAUUGCUUUCAGCAUGUUCCUAUUAUUAUCCCUAUUUGAGGUACAGAUGAAUCUGUUUUGCUGGCAUCCCCAGUCAAUAUUGAUCUUUGGCCCUACUGCUCCUCUGCUGUUUGUGGUUUCUUCCCAAUAAAAAAUCACAACUUCCCAGGCCUCUGCCAUGUUCUCAUGCUGGCACCCUGUGAAGUUCUGCUUUGCACGCAAGGAGCCUACGCUUUUAAAAAAGCUCUCUGUCACCCCAGAAUGUUCCAGGCCCUACAGAAAAACAAACAAGAGCUUCAUUUAAGCCCUCUAGACAUGUUUCUGUCUAGCAGUUUUUGACAGAAAACUGCAACAAUUUUAAACAAAUCAUGGGCAUCCUGGACCAAAGGUUUCUUUUUUCUGUGCAAUCUAGUUUCCAUGAACUCUUAUAGAACACAAGCUUCUCCCUUGCACUAAAAAGGAUCUUCUCUAACUGCUGUCCCCACAGCUGGUCACGAAGCUGCUGAACAAUUAUCUGGGUUGCUGCAUACACAGAGUAUUUUGAUAACUAAAUGGCCUCUCAUUACAGCUUGUUAGCAACUGACAGUAUCUCCCCAUCUCCUAGAGGGACCACUUGGCUUUGUGCUUGCUCCUCUCUGAAAAGCUCAGUCUUUUAACAUUUCACCAUCUCCAUAUCUCGUCUUUUUUUUUUUUUUUUUCUUUUUAAUCCCUUUGUUAUUCCAGAAAAACAUUUUAUGAUUAUUACACUUUACCCCCAACUGCUGGUGAAAUAUAGGUGUUGCAUAUAAAACACCACUAACUACACAUGGGUAACUGACAGAAAAAAAGAACCAGUUCCUGCUUGUUUAAGAGACAUAGCCAAAGUACAUGGUGGAUGAAAUAAGCAGGGGAAAGGAGAAAGUUUCUGUAAAGAUCCAGUAUAACACAUACUCACUGAUGUACAGCCUGUACUGCUUUGAUUUUGCAGUGAGCCUAUAUUUCAUAAACUGAUCUUUUAAUUUAGAAAAAGAAGCUUGCACUGAGAAAGUUUCUAUUUAUACUUAUAAGAAUAUAGUAAUAAACAACAGAUUACUUCUGUUUCUCUCCAAAAUAAACUCUUUUCUUUACA
Zonotrichia albicollis (white-throated sparrow) is the source of this 5377-nucleotide non-coding RNA. Lineage: Eukaryota; Metazoa; Chordata; Aves; Passeriformes; Passerellidae. The record is from RefSeq and is a predicted model, not a curated record.